CGGGAAAGCGUCUGCGCAUAGUGUCACUUCCGUCGUGAGCACCGUGGUGACGAGUCGUAUUAUCCUGAUUGUGAUUAAUAAUUGUUGAUUACGAGAAUGACGACAGGAGUAGGCGUUAGAAAUGUGAAUGCCACGAUGAUUAAUGGUCCAUUCGACGAUUCUUCAAACAAAUAUGGCGAUGUAUAAUUAAGAUUUUACACAACUUCUCCACUUUCUGUUAUUCUAUGGAAAGAAUCUAGCCAGGCUUACAAGAAUAUUUUUUACAAAUUCUACUUUCUUCUUGGGGUUUGAUGAUUCUUGCGAGAUGAUAGUUACUAUGAUGACUUCCUCUGGAACAUAGCACCGUCGAUGACA
Molecule: long non-coding RNA, 354 nt
Organism: Bombus impatiens (common eastern bumble bee)
Lineage: Eukaryota; Metazoa; Arthropoda; Insecta; Hymenoptera; Apidae
Exons: 4
Source: RefSeq, a predicted model, not a curated record